AACUUGAACAGGCUGUUGCUGGUCCCUUGGGAUAUGUGCACGCUUGUCUCAUCUUUGUCAUUUCCCCCCCAACUUGUGCACAUUUUGUAGACCCUGGAGCUUUUUGAGAAAUUCAGUGUUGGGACUGCUGUGCUUUCUUGUAAAGUCGGCUUUUCCUUGCCUCAGGUCUAUGUCAUUUUUAUUCACAACCUUGUUCAGAAUGUAUCUUGAAAAUGAAACAUAUACAACUUUCAGCAACGGAUCUCUUGGCUCUCGCAUCGAUGAAGAACGCAGCGAAAUGCGAUAAGUAAUGUGAAUUGCAGAAUUCAGUGAAUCAUCGAAUCUUUGAACGCAUCUUGCGCUCCUUGGUAUUCCGAGGAGCAUGCCUGUUUGAGUGUCAUUUAACUUCUCAACCACACACGUCUCAUGAUUGUUAUGUGGCUUGGAUGUGGGGGUUGUUUGCAGGCUUUCUGUGAAUGAAGGUCGGCUCCCCUGAAAUGUAUUAGUGGUAUCUGAGGCUACUACUAUAGGUGUGAUAAAUUAUCUAUGCCUUUGGUAUGCNNNAUGAACAGAUUACACUGCUUCUAACAAAAAAACGAAUGUUGAUAAAUUUGACCUCAAAUCAGGUAGGACUACCCGCUGAACUUAAGCA
This 631-nucleotide ribosomal RNA is filed under the name uncultured Inocybe. RNAcentral's name for it is "eukaryotic LSU rRNA". The stretch from base 226 to 379 matches the Rfam family "5.8S ribosomal RNA". Lineage: Eukaryota; Fungi; Basidiomycota; Agaricomycetes; Agaricales; Cortinariaceae. The record is from RNAcentral.